UCCAACUUGCAUAAUAUCUUCAAAUGUAACAGAAUGAUGUUUUCUGGGAUUUUAACAUGGUAAAGACUCUUCUGGACUAUAUUAUGACAGAGACUAGGAGAAUUGACAUAGUCCUAAGCACCAUCUUGUCCUUUAAGAAGUUAUACCCACUGGUUCUAGGCAUAUGGAGAAGUUACCAGUCAAUGCUCUAAAUUGAAAAAGGGAAGGGAUGGAAACAGUAGAAGAAAGAAGACAACUCAGUGAUCAACUCAGGAAAAGCAGCAAACAUGAAAAUUCUGUGGUUUAAGUUAUAUUACCCAUCCUUGGAGGACCAUUCGUAUGUUUUGUAUCAUAGCUACCAG
Molecule: long non-coding RNA, 341 nt
Organism: Callorhinus ursinus (northern fur seal)
Lineage: Eukaryota; Metazoa; Chordata; Mammalia; Carnivora; Otariidae
Source: RefSeq, a predicted model, not a curated record